Molecule: ribosomal RNA, 273 nt
Filed under: uncultured bacterium
Lineage: Bacteria
Description: partial 16S ribosomal RNA
Rfam family: Bacterial small subunit ribosomal RNA
Source: RNAcentral
UACGGAGGGUGCAAGCGUUAUCCGGAUUCACUGGGUUUAAAGGGUGCGUAGGAGGGCAGGAAAGUCAGUGGUGAAAUCUUCGAGCUUAACUCGGAAACUGCCGUUGAUACUCUCUGUCUUGAAUACCGUGGAGGUGAGCGGAAUAUGUCAUGUAGCGGUGAAAUGCUUAGAUAUGACAUAGAACACCAAUUGCGAAGGCAGCUCACUACACGAAUAUUGACUCUGAGGCACGAAAGCGUGGGGAUCAAACAGGAUUAGAUACCCCCGUAGUCC